Molecule: ribosomal RNA, 497 nt
Filed under: uncultured bacterium
Lineage: Bacteria
Description: partial 16S ribosomal RNA
Rfam family: Bacterial small subunit ribosomal RNA
Source: RNAcentral
GAUGAACGCUGGCGGCGUGCCUAAUACAUGCAAGUCGAGCGAACAGAUGAGGAGCUUGCUCCUCUGACGUUAGCGGCGGACGGGUGAGUAACACGUGGAUAACCUACCUAUAAGACUGGGAUAACUUCGGGAAACCGGAGCUAAUACCGGAUAAUAUAUUGAACCGCAUGGUUCAAUAGUGAAAGACGGUUUUGCUGUCACUUAUAGAUGGAUCCGCGCCGCAUUAGCUAGUUGGUAAGGUAACGGCUUACCAAGGCGACGAUGCGUAGCCGACCUGAGAGGGUGAUCGGCCCCACUGGAACUGAGACACGGUCCAGACUCCUACGGGAGGCAGCAGUAGGGAAUCUUCCGCAAUGGGCGAAAGCCUGACGGAGCAACGCCGCGUGAGUGAUGAAGGUCUUCGGAUCGUAAAACUCUGUUAUUAGGGAAGAACAAAUGUGUAAGUAACUAUGCACGUCUUGACGGUACCUAAUCAGAAAGCCACGGCUAACUACGUG